This 71-nucleotide small nucleolar RNA is filed under the name Carlito syrichta (Philippine tarsier). Its description in RNAcentral is "Small nucleolar RNA SNORD30 (ENSTSYG00000029035.1)". It matches the Rfam family "Small nucleolar RNA SNORD30". From Rfam's summary of the family: U30 is a member of the C/D class of snoRNA which contain the C (UGAUGA) and D (CUGA) box motifs. The record is from Rfam by way of RNAcentral. Lineage: Eukaryota; Metazoa; Chordata; Mammalia; Primates; Tarsiidae.
ACACAUGAUGACUUACAUUGGAAUCUCGUUCGGCUGAUGGCUUGCUGUUGAGACUCGGAAGUCUGACUUUC